Xenopus tropicalis (tropical clawed frog) is the source of this 505-nucleotide long non-coding RNA. RefSeq lists it as uncharacterized. NCBI's taxonomy places the organism in Eukaryota, Metazoa, Chordata, Amphibia, Anura, Pipidae. The transcript has 4 exons. The record is from RefSeq and is a predicted model, not a curated record.
CAGAUUAUUUAAGUAGUCUAGCCACGGGUUCCAGAUCCUGCGGUAGGUGGUUUUGGUGUUUUCCAUUUUUGUGGAAUCAGCGAUUUUGCUGCCUGCAGCAGGUGUAAGUUGGUUGCCCUUCAUGCCAUGACAGUCAAAGAGGGUGACGGCUCGUUUGUGACACGACAUCAAAGCAAGACUUCAUAGUGUGCUGUGGGAUGCCAGGACGUAUAUCUUCUCUCCAACCCAGAGUGAACCCCUGCACAGAAAAGCAGUACAAUAUAGGUAACUUGUCCACCCUGCCCACAGUGGAUUCUCCAGUUUCUGAGUAUGAUCCUAGGCAACAUCCAUGAGAAGAUGUUCCUGAAAGCAAGGAGGAUCCAAUUGCUGAGCACCGAUAAGAAGCCUGUUGGACAGAAGCCACAGCACAACAAGAGAUGAGGAUGCUGGGACUAAUGAACAGAGGAAGGGCCUUAUACUCAGUUGCAUCUUCACAAUAUCCAGGAUGAAAUAGUUAGAUAGUGGG